This 73-nucleotide transfer RNA is filed under the name Tursiops truncatus (common bottlenose dolphin). Its description in RNAcentral is "tRNA-Lys (TTT) (tRNA-Lys-TTT-31-1)". It matches the Rfam family "tRNA". Rfam says of the family: Transfer RNA (tRNA) molecules are approximately 80 nucleotides in length. Their secondary structure includes four short double-helical elements and three loops (D, anti-codon, and T loops). RNAcentral also lists the same sequence under 1 other name. Lineage: Eukaryota; Metazoa; Chordata; Mammalia; Artiodactyla; Delphinidae. The record is from Rfam by way of RNAcentral.
UCCCUGGCAGUCCAGUAGUUAGGACUCUGCACUUUUACUGCUGUGGGUCCAGGUUCGAUCCCUGGUUGGGGAA